GGGAAACUGAGGAUAAUACCCCAUAGGUGUGGUGUGCUGGAAUGCUUCCACGCUCAAAGCUCCGGCGCUCCAGGAUGAGUCUGCGGCCUAUCAGGCUGUAGUGGGUGUAACGGACCCACUAACCGACGACGGGUAGGGGCGUUGAGAGACGGAGCCCCCAGAUGGAUUCUGAGACACGAAUCCAGGCCCUACGGGGCGCAGCAGCUACGAAAACUGUGCAAUGUGGGAAACCACGACACGGGCAUACCGAGUGCCAAGGCUUUGCUUUGGCUGUUCUUUCGCCUAAAAAGCGAGAGAAGUAAGGGCCGGGUAAGACGGGUGCCAGCCGCCGCGGUAAUACCCGCGGCCCGAGUGGUGCUCAUUAUUAUUGAGCUUAAAGCGUCCGUAGCCGGCCUCGUAAAUCUUUGGGUAAAUCGGGCAGCUUAACUGUUCGAAUUCCGAGGAGACUGCGAGGCUCGGGACCGGGAGAGGUUCGAGGUACUCCGGGGGUAGGGGUAAAAUCCUGUAAUCCUCAGAGGACCACCAGUGGCGAAGGCGUCGAACUAGAACGGAUCCGACGGUGAGGGACGAAGCCCUGGGGCGCAAACGGGAUUAGAUACCCCGGUAGUCCAGGGUGUAAACGCUGCGGGUUUGGUGUCGGAGGUCCUACGCGGGCGUCCGGUGCCGGAGAGAAAUUGUUAAACCUGCCGCUUUGGGGAGUACGGUCGCAAGACUGAAACUUAA
RNAcentral lists this ribosomal RNA (723 nucleotides) under uncultured archaeon. RNAcentral's name for it is "bacterial SSU rRNA". It matches the Rfam family "Archaeal small subunit ribosomal RNA", at positions 134 to 859 of the family's 1478-position model. The record is from RNAcentral.